ACUGAAGAUCAAGGUCUUAGACUCAAGACAAAAGAAGAAAAUUGAAGAAAAGAAGAGUCUAGGAACCGCCUGGCGGCAAAAUUGCACCGCUGGGCGGUCCAGUGCGAGGAGGAGGCACCUGGUGUGGACGCUGGGCAGAUUUGCGAUCAGAGGCAAACCGCCAGGCGGUGGCCCCCUGCCGCCGGGCGGUUGUCUGCUGGGCCUGGGCCUGUUUUUUGUGACACUCCUCAGCUAUAAAUAGCCCUGUUAUGAUUUCAUUCUCAUUCUUUUGACAGAAGAGGGCGGCCAAACCUAACUUUCACUCUCUGGAGAGGAUCUCUUGGAUGCUUAGGCUCCUUUUCAUCUUAUCUAGGGUUUGUUUUUCCAUUCUUCCAUUAUUUUCAUCUAGGUUCACCAUGACAAUGGUGAACUAAAUCCUUUUGUUAUUGGGAAAAUAAUGUAAUCUUUUGAAACUCUCUUUUAUUGAAACUCUUGUUUAUUUAUAUGAUUCUUCAUAUGCUUUGAUUAUCAAUUGUUGGGUUCUCAUCUGUGUUUAAUGCUUUUAUCGUUUAACUCAUUCGAUAAUUGUUGUUUUUCUCUAUUGAUACGGGAACGUACAGUACUGUCAUGAACUGAUGAGAAAUUCCUUGCUUAAGCAAUACCAACCUAGGGAUAGGGGGUAGGAUGAUCAAUUGUUUUUGCUUCUGUUCUUAAUGCGUUAUUAAUUGCUAGGGGAGGCUAGGGAUCGCAAGCCGGUAAUUAGUAAUAGGUGGCGGUACCAGGGGAAGUAUGGUUCGAAGAGUAUAACGCAGCGGAAUAAAACUAAGAGUAGCGUAUAAGCGUGUUCGGUCACCCUUUUAAAACAAGUUGGUCCUUUUUUGAAAAUCAAUUUUCUUUCAGAAAAUUUAUCGAACAGUUGAUAUGCGUAAAACUGUAAACAGUAUAGGGAAUAGAAAAAUCACACAAGUAAUUUUUAUACUGGUUCAAUUCAGAAGAAUCUACAUCCAGUCGUUAAUCACUAUAAACAGUGAUUAACAGUUCCACUAAAAAGAUGUUUGUCAGAUUACAAUUAUAGUGAAUGAAAGACAGAUAAAUAAAC
RNAcentral lists this long non-coding RNA (1078 nucleotides) under Vigna radiata. Its description in RNAcentral is "long non-coding RNA (VRAD_LNC014882)". Lineage: Eukaryota; Viridiplantae; Streptophyta; Magnoliopsida; Fabales; Fabaceae. The record is from RNAcentral.